GUGGGGAAUAUUGGACAAUGGGCGAAAGCCUGAUCCAGCCAUGCCGCGUGUGUGAAGAAGGUCUUCGGAUUGUAAAGCACUUUAAGUUGGGAGGAAGGGCAGUAAGUUAAUACCUUGCUGUUUUGACGUUACCGACAGAAUAAGCACCGGCUAACUUCGUGCCAGCAGCCGCGGUAAUACGAAGGGUGCAAGCGUUAAUCGGAAUUACUGGGCGUAAAGCGCGCGUAGGUGGUUUUGUAAGUUGGAGGUGAAAUCCCCGGGCUCAACCUGGGAACUGCCUACAAAACUGAAUGACUAGAGUACGGUAGAGGGUAGUGGAAUUUCCUGUGUAGCGGUGAAAUGCGUAGAUAUAGGAAGGAACACCAGAGGCGAAGGCGACUACCUGGACUGAUACUGAAACUGAGGUGCGAAAGCGUGGGGAGCAAACAGGAUUAGAAACCCUGGUAGUCC
RNAcentral lists this ribosomal RNA (450 nucleotides) under uncultured bacterium. RNAcentral describes it as "partial 16S ribosomal RNA". It matches the Rfam family "Bacterial small subunit ribosomal RNA", at positions 354 to 796 of the family's 1533-position model. The record is from RNAcentral.